Drosophila bipectinata is the source of this 993-nucleotide non-coding RNA. Lineage: Eukaryota; Metazoa; Arthropoda; Insecta; Diptera; Drosophilidae. The record is from RefSeq and is a predicted model, not a curated record.
ACCUCUCUUAUUCGUAAAAUUUUUCUCGGGCCGUGCGGUUGGAGGCGGAUGAUUGGAAAAGCUGUCCAGGUCGACACGGAAAUAGUGGGCGCAUUGUUGAUACUCUUCAGGCGCUCGUCCAGAAAUCGGUUCGGAAGUCGGCUUGGCGAGUCGUAGUCGAAUAUCCACGCGGUUCGAAAGUGAAAUCCAACGUCAACGGUAAACCAAACGCACAGCGGCGACGACGCGAAAGAAAUUUUUUGAAUGGAUAGCAGCUGGAACGUGGCUCCACACUCCACGCCAAAUCAAAUUCAAUUGAAAGUUUUAUUCUUAAAUCUUAGUCGCAAUAAUUAGUAUCUCCGGCAGAUACUAAAAGUGUUUAACAGUUCAACAGCAAAGUGCAAUUUUAGUUGAGAAUCAAGUGGAGAAUAUCAAUCAAGUCGAGAAGAGUUUCGAGAUCCUAAAGCUUUGUAAGAUUGAGCUUGAUUGAGAAACUCUGAGGAGAGUGUACUAGUUGUGGUUUUAGGUAAGCAUUUAAAAACUGCAAGUAAGCCUUGAUGGAAUGUCUGGCAAGUUUAAUAUUUUCCUUAAGAAGACCCUCUGUGUUUAUUCUUCAAAGAAAUACUCCCUAGUGACCCUCAAAAGAGCAGCUCGAAUGUAACCAAAUUACUCGUGCAUAAAAAAAAGAAUUGUGGCCACUCAUAAACCCCACCGUAGAACCAACUGUUUCCAGUUUUUAAUUAAAAAACCAGACUCGAACCAACAGAGCCAACGGAUCUCCCCAGAAGUUUUUCCAGCUCUCUUGUCUUGGGUAUUAAUUAACAACUUCCUCCCGGGCCGGGUCUCUACCAUCUCUGGCUGGUGUUUUGGUUUUUAUUACCCGCCGAAUGGCAAUAAUAAUUAUAAUCAUCAUUUUUUUGUGGGUUCUUUUUCGGUUUGUUUAGUAUUCUGUGGGCACAUUUGACCCAAAUCACAGCCCAGUCCGACAGCACUGACCCAUUUGGCCAAAAAAAA